AACGAACGCUGACGGCAGGCUUAACACAUGCAAGUCGAACGCCCCGCAAGGGGAGUGGCAGACGGGUGAGUAACGCGUGGGAAUCUACCUAGUUCUACGGAACAACAGAGGGAAACUUCUGCUAAUACCGUAUACGCCCUAUGGGGGAAAGAUUUAUCGGAAUUAGAUGAGCCCGCGUAAGAUUAGCUAGUUGGUGAGGUAAUGGCUCACCAAGGCGACGAUCUUUAGCUGGUCUGAGAGGAUGAUCAGCCACACUGGGACUGAGACACGGUCCAGACUCCUACGGGAGGCAGCAGUGGGGAAUAUUGGACAAUGGGCGCAAGCCUGAUCCAGCCAUGCCGCGUGAGUGAUGAAGGCCUUAGGGUUGUAAAGCUCUUUCAGUGGGGAAGAUAAUGACGGUACCCACAGAAGAAGCCCCGGCUAACUUCGUGCCAGCCGCCGCGGUAA
This 447-nucleotide ribosomal RNA is filed under the name uncultured bacterium. RNAcentral describes it as "partial 16S ribosomal RNA". It matches the Rfam family "Bacterial small subunit ribosomal RNA", at positions 29 to 523 of the family's 1533-position model. The record is from RNAcentral.